Non-coding RNA from Rattus norvegicus (Norway rat), 1517 nucleotides. Lineage: Eukaryota; Metazoa; Chordata; Mammalia; Rodentia; Muridae. The record is from RefSeq and is a predicted model, not a curated record.
CCCAUGACAUGACUGGGCUUGGCCAGACAACUUCAGUCUAUGAGAAUAGACCUGAGAGUCUCAUCUGACCUCUGCUGAAUUGGAUGGACAUCAUCCAGUGAUGCUCUUCUGACACAGUCUUAGAGCUCACAGUUGGAGAGCAUAGUUCUGUUGGGCUGUGGGAUUGGUUAAAAACAGCCAUAAUACAAAGACUGGAGAACCCAAAACAGCUGAGUGCAGCUAGCCUCUCCCACCUUCACAUCACCUCUCCAAACACUUGUAGACAUGAAGGACUUGUCAGGAGAAUGUCUAGACAAAAUAUCGAGAUGGUAGUGUGUCAGAAACAUCCUAGCAGAGUCCUGGGUAAUAAGCUGAGCAUCUGUGAUCAGCAUAGUUGGAAAUAAGUGAAUAGAGAUUCAGGCAAAGUUUGGGUUAGAAGAGCUCAGGAGUAGGUACACAGCGUCACACCUGGGCCAGACUCAGAGGUAGGGUGGGUCCUGCUAGGGUUAAGAAAAAGAAAUGAUUACUUUUUUCACUUUAUAUCAACAAGGAGGCAGAAGACCAGCUCAGGAGAAAUUAUACAUGCAGUGAAGUGGAGUGGGACUGCUGGCUCCAAGUUUGGAGAGAAGAACCACCCCAUAACUUUUUCCUUACUGAAAAUGAGAUUUACUCAUUGCUAAACUUAAGGACCUGAUUUUGAGAAGGAAGAUAAAAGAGAAAAAGAAAAGGCAGAGAGAUUCUUCAGGAAGCAAGACGCAAGAGGUGACGGCGCCCUGUGCACAAAGGCAUUGAGGAAGAGGAAACGAAAUCUAAGAGUGUAGUACGGGCUGUUACUGAAUGAGCUUUUCCCAUCUCUAACUUUCUAGGACUCUGAAGCUAAAGAAAUCUGAGCAGGCAAUCUCACCUCCCAUUUUUACCCGCCCCUCCUCCCACCUCCCACAUUCUGUGAAGUCUGGCUGGCCCCUCCCACUCCUCCCCAACUCAGGCAGGAGGCUUAGAUAAUAGGUGUGGCAUCGGGCCCAGGCAUUCCCACCGUCUUCUCCACCAUCACAUUCUGCUGCUUGAGCAGUUGGCCGCCUCCAUGAGUGUUAAUUGGAGAGACAUCUGAAGUGACCAGACUGGUUUUGCAGCCGCCAUGAUAGACACACUCCAUCUGCUCCAACCAGGCGCUCCUCAGCACACAGGGAGGCCGGCCUGAUUCCUCUUGCCCAGGCCUUGUUAGGAGUUACACUCAAAAGUUAGAUCCCUCGGCUUUGAAGAGGAAACUGCUUCAAAACACACUGAAUGCAGACACCCUUCAGUUUGUCGAAGAGGGGAUUAAGGCCCAGUCUUGCCCUGGGUUCAGCACAGACCUCCCAGCCAAGUUUCCAUCUGUCUGUCCUUCCACAAAUAGGGUGUGUCACUUGCAACCUCUCUUCUAGAUCAUCAGUUGACCACCCUAGUUUCCUACUCCACUAUCCCUUCCCUCCUAAGUGAUGAGGACUUGACUUUCAAAUGUCAUGAUCAGCGUUUUAAAUUAAACUCAUUUUAUCGGGUAA